AGCUGCUCUAAGUUAUCUAAGUCCAGCUCUUCUUCACUCAUCUCAUUAGCAUUAGACUCCACCUCAAGUUCUUGUUCUACAGCUUCAUUUCCAACCUCCAUAAUAGGACUUGUUGACGAUCCUUGGUGUGAAUGAAAUGGAGGACUGUACAUACCUAUUAUUUAAAAGGGAAAAUAUACUUGAGUCAAAUCCAUAAGGAACAUAUGCAGGAAUAUAUGCAGUCAAGUCCAUAUGAUAUUUAAUAACUAUUUUCAGCUUGCUUUUCGCCAUUUCUACAAAUGCAUUUAUCUAAAUUAGCAACAAAACCUGAAGUACCUUCACCCAAGGUAGUGAAGGGUAGGACCCAAAUAACACUCUACCAGUAAGUAGUAACCACAAUCAUUUGGGGUUCAAUCAGGACAAAAAGAGAUUAGACAUGGUGGAUCCUAUAUAUAUAAAGCGUUGAAAGUACCCGAAAUCAUCUCAUGGCCAAAACAAAAGCAAGUAUGUACUAGUACUUUAUAAGUCUAGCUUGCUACAUCAAAAAACAAAAAAACCCAGAUAAUAUUGAUAAUUCUUUCAUUAACGUUCGUUCAUUGAGCAAUGCGUUAAUUUUGCAGCAGUAAUUACUAAGUCCAAAUGCAAAAUUCUAACAAAACAAACCAACUAAAGAGAAAACAAGGAGAAGUCAGAAAAAUCAUAUAUAUAUAUAUAUAUAUAUAUAUAUAUAUAUAUAUAUAUAUAUAUAUAUAUAUAAUUUAUGUCAGACCACCACCAAAAUGUGCAUCCUGAACAAAUGACAAAAAAAGUUUAGUUCCAACUCCAAGUGUGUUGUCCCCUGGCCUAAACAGAGGAGGUAGAGUGCCACCAGCAUGUAUAAGUAGGCGUUAUUAACAACGACAAUUAAUGGGAACAUUCUCAGUAAAAAACAAGUCAAAUAUUCUGAAUCAAAAAACCCCCCUCCCUCCGUCCUCCAAUUUGGUGUUAGAGACAGACUGACUGACAAGCAUCGUCCUUGAUCCUACAACAAAUAAUAAUAACGAAGGGGGGCCAGGCAACGAAAACAUAAUAAUAAUAUUAUUCUCUCCGAGUUGGAUUGGAUAUCUUUUAGUACCUUAUUAGUCACUCACUAAAAAUUAAACACUUACCAGAAAUCACGAUGGAUUAGAGAAACCAGUCAAAUUGGACUGGUUUUGGCUGUUGUAGUGGACCGGCUGUUAAUGGA
RNAcentral lists this long non-coding RNA (1204 nucleotides) under Coffea arabica (coffee). Its description in RNAcentral is "long non-coding RNA (CARA_LNC002293)". Lineage: Eukaryota; Viridiplantae; Streptophyta; Magnoliopsida; Gentianales; Rubiaceae. The record is from RNAcentral.